Molecule: ribosomal RNA, 457 nt
Filed under: uncultured Sphingobacteriales bacterium
Lineage: Bacteria; Pseudomonadati; Bacteroidota; Sphingobacteriia; Sphingobacteriales
Description: bacterial SSU rRNA
Rfam family: Bacterial small subunit ribosomal RNA
Source: RNAcentral
ACAAGCGGUGGAGCACGUGGUUUAAUUCGAUGAUACGCGAGGAACCCUUACCUGGGCUCAAAUGUAUGUUGACGUAUUCUGAAAGGGAUACUUCUUCGGACAAUAUACAAGGUGCUGCAUGGUUGUCGUCAGCUCGUGCCGUGAGGUGUCGGGUUAAGUCCCAUAACGAGCGCAACCCCUAUCAUUAGUUGCCAUCAGGUCAAGCUGGGGACUCUAAUGAAACUGCCUACGCAAGUAGUGAGGAAGGUGGGGAUGACGUCAAGUCAUCAUGGCCCUUAUGUCCAGGGCGACACACGUGCUACAAUGGCCGGCACAGCGGGAAGCGAGGCAGUGAUGCCAAGCGGAUCCCUUAAAGCCGGUCUCAGUUCGGAUUGCAGUCUGCAACUCGACUGCAUGAAGUUGGAAUCGCUAGUAAUCGUGGAUCAGCCAAGCCGCGGUGAAUACGUUCCCGGGCCUU